AUGUAAACAGGAAGAUCAUGUCAGUUGUGUCACAAAAGCAAACGACGUGAUAUUAGAAGAAAGAUUUCAUUCUUUAGUUAAUAGUUUACUGAUUAAUAAUAAUCUCGUACAAUAGGAAUACGCAUUGAAUUUGUUGUCCAAAAAUAAGUAUGUCGGAGGCAAACGGGAUGACAGAUGCCCAAUUGAUACAGCAGUUGGCGCUGCUGGGUUGGCUGAAGACGGACAGUGUUCAGUGUAAGCAGCUGCUCACUGCGGUCACUGGGAUGCAGGUGGCCCGUGAGCUUCUGGACAGACUCUCUGGGCAAAGCCAAAUAGAUGCUUACAGGAGGGAAUGUAUCCAGAGCAUUGCUGACU
Long non-coding RNA from Sinocyclocheilus rhinocerous, 354 nucleotides. RefSeq lists it as uncharacterized. NCBI's taxonomy places the organism in Eukaryota, Metazoa, Chordata, Actinopteri, Cypriniformes, Cyprinidae. The record is from RefSeq and is a predicted model, not a curated record. The transcript is spliced from 3 exons.